UACGUAGGGCGCAAGCGUUGUUCGGAAUUACUGGGCGUAAAGCGCGUGUAGGCGGCCUUUUAAGUCUGAUGUGAAAGCCCGGGGCUCACCCCCGGAAGUGCAUCGGAUACUGGGAGGCUCGAGUACCGGAGAGGAGGGUGGAAUUCCUGGUGUAGCGGUGAAAUGCGUAGAUAUCAGGAGGAACACCGGUGGCGAAGGCGGCCCUCUGGACGGUACUGACGCUGAGACGCGAAAGCGUGGGGAGCGAACAGG
RNAcentral lists this ribosomal RNA (252 nucleotides) under uncultured bacterium. Its description in RNAcentral is "partial 16S ribosomal RNA". It matches the Rfam family "Bacterial small subunit ribosomal RNA", at positions 524 to 776 of the family's 1533-position model. The record is from RNAcentral.